This 532-nucleotide ribosomal RNA is filed under the name uncultured beta proteobacterium. Its description in RNAcentral is "SSU rRNA". It matches the Rfam family "Bacterial small subunit ribosomal RNA", at positions 242 to 766 of the family's 1533-position model. Lineage: Bacteria; Pseudomonadati; Pseudomonadota; Betaproteobacteria. The record is from RNAcentral.
CAGCUAGUUGGCGGGGUAAAAGCCCACCAAGGCGACGAUCCGUAGCUGGUCUGAGAGGACGGCCAGCCACACUGGAACUGAGACACGGUCCAGACUCCUACGGGAGGCAGCAGUGGGGAAUUUUGGACAAUGGGCGCAAGCCUGAUCCAGCCAUGCCGCGUGAGUGAAGAAGGCCUUCGGGUUGUAAAGCUCUUUCGGCGGGAACGAAAAGGUCCGUGUUAACACCAUGGAUCCAUGACGGUACCCGCAGAAGAAGCACCGGCUAACUACGUGCCAGCAGCCGCGGUAAUACGUAGGGUGCAGGCGUUAAUCGGAAUUACUGGGCGUAAAGCGUGCGCAGGCGGUUUGCUAAGACAGGUGUGAAAUCCCCGGGCUUAACCUGGGAACUGCGCUUGUUACUGGCAAGCUAGAGUGUGGCAGAGGGGGGUGGAAUUCCACGUGUAGCAGUGAAAUGCGUAGAGAUGUGGAGGAACACCGAUGGCGAAGGCAGCCCCCUGGGCUAACACUGACGCUCAUGCACGAAAGCGUGGGA